UUUCCGUAGGUGAACCUGCGGAAGGAUCAUUGUCGAAACCUGCAAAAGACAGAAUGACCCGCGAACAGGUGAAAAUUCAUUCGKGAGAGGUGCCCUCGGGGACUUUCUCCCGGAGUCCUUAGCCAAGGCCGUGCUUGAAACCCACGUCCUCGGCUACGGGCAAAAUCAACAACCCCGGGCGCGAGUCGCGCCAAGGAAAAUGAAGAAGGAUGAGCUCCCCUCGUCCCGGAAACGGUGGCGUUGGGAGUCACAUCGUCGUUAUCUCAUACGAAACGACUCUCGGCAACGGAUAUCUCGGCUCUCGCAUCGAUGAAGAACGUAGCGAAAUGCGAUACUUGGUGUGAAUUGCAGAAUCCCGUGAACCAUCGAGUUUUUGAACGCAAGUUGCGCCCAAAGCCGUCAGGCUGAGGGCACGCCUGCCUGGGUGUCACGAAAAGUCGCAAACAUCCCUCCCCUGUCCCGAAUGAGUAAAGGGCAGCGAGCGAUGGCGGAUAUUGGCCUCCCGUGCACUCGUGCGAACGGUUGGCCCAAAAUAUCGGGUCCCCACAGGGCGGCCACGACACACGGUGGUUGAAAGGACGCGCUCUCCUCGAACACCGUCGUGGGCUUGCCCAGUGAGCGGGAGCCAGAGACCCCGACGCAGAGCGUCAUCACGAAGCGACCCCAGGUCAGGCUGGAAC
This 680-nucleotide ribosomal RNA is filed under the name Pristimera fimbriata. RNAcentral's name for it is "eukaryotic LSU rRNA". The stretch from base 275 to 430 matches the Rfam family "5.8S ribosomal RNA". Lineage: Eukaryota; Viridiplantae; Streptophyta; Magnoliopsida; Celastrales; Celastraceae. The record is from RNAcentral.